Molecule: ribosomal RNA, 253 nt
Filed under: uncultured bacterium
Lineage: Bacteria
Description: partial 16S ribosomal RNA
Rfam family: Bacterial small subunit ribosomal RNA
Source: RNAcentral
UACGUAGGGUGCAAGCGUUGUCCGGAAUUAUUGGGCGUAAAGAGCUCGUAGGCGGUUUGUCGCGUCUGCUGUGAAAACUCGGGGCUUAACCCCGGGCCUGCAGUGGGUACGGGCAGACUAGAGUGCGGUAGGGGAGACUGGAAUUCCUGGUGUAGCGGUGAAAUGCGCAGAUAUCAGGAGGAACACCGGUGGCGAAGGCGGGUCUCUGGGCCGUAACUGACGCUGAUGCACGAAAGCUAGGGGAGCAAACAGG